Molecule: long non-coding RNA, 618 nt
Organism: Mauremys mutica (yellowpond turtle)
Lineage: Eukaryota; Metazoa; Chordata; Testudines; Geoemydidae
Exons: 3
Source: RefSeq, a predicted model, not a curated record
UCCUCGGAGAAGGGAGAUGUAUUUGGCCUGGCAAACUGGGGGCGCGCUGUCAGGAAGGUAGGACAGGGCUUGGAGAAAGACAGUAAGGUCUAGAAGGAACAGACCUUGACUGCUGACUAGAGGGUCUCUGAGCCAGAACCCAAAGUAGAGACUGAGCCCAGGUUUCCCUGCAAGCAACUGGGGAAGUGGCUCUACAAGGCAGGGAAUGGGAAGACUGCCCAGGAGUGCUGAGUUCAGCAGUGUUUUCGCCACAGUAUGAACACAGCAUCAUCCCAGCUCUUCUCCCAAGCUGAUGUCCUGGCAUAUGCAAAGGAUGUCUUCACUGUGUCCCUUACAACUAGGGGAGGGAGGACAAUUAAAUUGCAGUUUACAAGGAGAAUUUCAUGCAGACCUCAAAAGCUUUGGUACCUACAAGUUCAGCUGCUUGUCCAGCCUCUUGAGUCUGCAGAACGGAGCAGGAAAUUGGCAUGCAUUCUGUCAUAAGACAUCAGGUCUUCCUGCUUAUGGCUGGGCUGAUUGUAUGGUCGGAACAGCCUUUCCCUUAAUAUCCCAGUGCUUCUGAUCCACACUUCAGUCAGGAAGUGCAAAUACAUGCCAACCUCGCCCCCCUGUCGUCCC